AUGAACGCUAGCUACAGGCUUAACACAUGCAAGUCGAGGGGUAGCAGGGUAGCAAUACCGCUGACGACCGGCGCACGGGUGAGUAACACGUAUCCAACCUACCAUUCACACGGGGAUAGCCUUUCGAAAGAAAGAUUAAUACCCGAUAGUAUAGCGAUAAGGCAUCUUAUUGCUAUUAAAGAAUUUCGGUGUUUGAUGGGGAUGCGUUCCAUUAGAUUGUUGGUGAGGUAACGGCUCACCAAGUCUUCGAUGGAUAGGGGGUUCUGAGAGGAAGGUCCCCCACAUUGGAACUGAGACAC
Molecule: ribosomal RNA, 299 nt
Filed under: uncultured bacterium
Lineage: Bacteria
Description: partial 16S ribosomal RNA
Rfam family: Bacterial small subunit ribosomal RNA
Source: RNAcentral